AGUGAACGCUGGCGGUAGGCCUAACACAUGCAAGUCGAACGGCAGCACAGUAAGAGCUUGCUCUUACGGGUGGCGAGUGGCGGACGGGUGAGGAAUACAUCGGAAUCUACUUUUUCGUGGGGGAUAACGUAGGGAAACUUACGCUAAUACCGCAUACGACCUACGGGUGAAAGCAGGGGAUCUUCGGACCUUGCGCGAUUGAAUGAGCCGAUGUCGGAUUAGCUAGUUGGCGGGGUAAAGGCCCACCAAGGCGACGAUCCGUAGCUGGUCUGAGAGGAUGAUCAGCCACACUUGAACUGAGAAACGGUCCAGACUCCUACGGGAGGCAGCAGUGGGGAAUAUUGGACAAUGGGCGCAAGCCUGGUCCAGCCAUACCGCGUGGGUGAAGAAGGCCUUCGGGUUGUAAAGCCCUUUUGUUGGGAAAGAAAAGCAGCAGGUUAAUACCCCGCUGUUCUGACGGUACCCAAAGAAUAAGCACCGGCUAACUUCGUG
RNAcentral lists this ribosomal RNA (492 nucleotides) under uncultured bacterium. Its description in RNAcentral is "partial 16S ribosomal RNA". It matches the Rfam family "Bacterial small subunit ribosomal RNA", at positions 29 to 507 of the family's 1533-position model. The record is from RNAcentral.